Molecule: ribosomal RNA, 253 nt
Filed under: uncultured bacterium
Lineage: Bacteria
Description: partial 16S ribosomal RNA
Rfam family: Bacterial small subunit ribosomal RNA
Source: RNAcentral
UACGGAGGGGGCUAGCGUUGUUCGGAAUUACUGAGCGUAAAGCGCACGUAGGCGGCUUUGUAAGUUAGAGGUGAAAGCCCGGGGCUCAACUCCGGAAUUGCCUUUAAGACUGCAUCGCUAGAAUUGUGGAGAGGUAAGCGGAAUUCCGAGUGUAGAGGUGAAAUUCGUAGAUAUUCGGAAGAACACCAGUGGCGAAAGCGACUUACUGGACACAUAUUGACGCUGAGGUGCGAAAGCGUGGGGAGCAAACAGG